AACCAAUAGAGAGAGAGUUAACUCAUAAGAUAGGAUAGUAUAGGAGGAUGAUAAGAAGAUCUGUGUCUUUUUCUUUGUUUUGUUUGUUUGUUGUCUAAAGCAAAGCAAAGGCAAAACUGGAAAUGCAAAAUUAAUUAAUUUCCCCCCUUUCUCUCCUAGGAUUGUUUGUGAUUGGAAUAAAAGUUAAUAAAGUGAUUUUACUAACAUACCAGAAACAGUAAUGAAUAUAAAAAGAAAUGAUUGAAUUUGCUUGCAUAAUAGAGGGAGAGAGAUAAUUGAAUUACUACUACUACUGCAUAAUAUAAAUAAUAAUAGAUAGAUAGAUAGAGAGAGAGAGAGAGUCAAAAGAAAGGGAGAAGAAGAAGAAGAAGAAGAAGUAAAUGUUAAGCAGUAAGUUAGUAGUAGACUAGACUAGACAGAUAGAUGGGUGGUGGAGGAACU
This 441-nucleotide long non-coding RNA is filed under the name Trifolium pratense (red clover). Its description in RNAcentral is "long non-coding RNA (TPRA_LNC014322)". The record is from RNAcentral. Lineage: Eukaryota; Viridiplantae; Streptophyta; Magnoliopsida; Fabales; Fabaceae.